This 70-nucleotide transfer RNA is filed under the name Dipodomys ordii (Ord's kangaroo rat). It matches the Rfam family "tRNA". Rfam says of the family: Transfer RNA (tRNA) molecules are approximately 80 nucleotides in length. Their secondary structure includes four short double-helical elements and three loops (D, anti-codon, and T loops). Lineage: Eukaryota; Metazoa; Chordata; Mammalia; Rodentia; Heteromyidae. The record is from Rfam by way of RNAcentral.
GGCAACGUAGCUCAGCGGUAGCGUGCAUGCCUUGCAAGCAUGAGGCCCUGGGUUCGAUUCCUCAGCACCA